Meriones unguiculatus (Mongolian gerbil) is the source of this 297-nucleotide long non-coding RNA. RefSeq lists it as uncharacterized. Lineage: Eukaryota; Metazoa; Chordata; Mammalia; Rodentia; Muridae. The transcript has 3 exons. The record is from RefSeq and is a predicted model, not a curated record.
GCUGGAUCCUGUCACGGUUCAGGAAUUCACAGGAGGAAGAACUGAAUGGAGCUUUCAUGGGACAAGGGACCGGCGCUUCUGAGGAUGUAGGAGGUGAGUUGCCAAAAAGAAGAAACCGGCAUGAAAUCUGUAGAGACUGGCCUUUGUCUGUUAGCACUGAAGUGUCUACGAUUGUGUUCGUACAGACAAGAUACUGUCAUAAAGCUAAAAUAAGAAUACGCUGAAGCCCAACCUUAUCUGAAGGUGGACGUGGAUUUUCACUUGGACUAGUUUCUCACGAGAAUUGCAUCUCUUCUG